UUGGCUUUUUAUCACUUUUCUCUCCCCGAUCCAAAGUUUUUUGUUUCUUCCCAACUCCCAAAUCAUGGUGGCUUUGAGAGUGACGGCCUCCCUCCCGUCGAUUGCAUUUGCUAAUAGCCUCGUCCGUUGCAGGCCGGCCCAGCGUCCUCCCUUCGCCGCCUUUGCCAGUUUCUCCAGUGGCGGAGCCACUUGCGGGCAAGCUUCUCCUCUACAGCGGCAGCUUGUGCUUUACACGAAGCCCGGAUGCUGUCUCUGCGAAGGCCUCAAAGAGAAGCUUCAGGCCGCGCUCUCCCUUGGUGGCUCGCACACUCUCCACUCCGUCGAACUCCAGGUAAGGGAUAUUUCUGGGAACGCUGAAUGGGAGAGGCUGUACCAGUACGAGAUUCCUGUCCUUGCCAAAAUACUCCCUGAUGGUAGAGAGGAAACACUUCCUAGAUUGUCCCCUCGCCUUGGAGUUGAGCUCAUACAAAAGAAAAUUACUGCCGCAUUAGAACAAUAGGUUCAUUUUGCAGGCGAUAUUGCUUUAAUUUAUAGAUUUAAGGAACAAGAUGGAAUAUGUUAUUAUCUGCCCCAACUGAAUGGUCUUUGCUUUUCAUCACAAGGUUUCUAGUGCUUCACCAGAUAAGUUUAUUCCAGGUAUUAGUUCUUAACCAUGCUGCGGAAUCUGAAAUUACUUGAUGUAAUCUAGUGGGCUCAAUACAAAAUAAUUUGAAAGUCUAUAUCUUCAUUAACCCAGCAGGGAUUUAUCAGAACUCAAACACCUUCCAUUCAAAAUUUGAUUAAUAUGUAGUGGCAUAUGUGGCUGUUCAGCGGUCUAUCAAAAGAAGAUCAUAGAUUGCAAAUUUGAUUAGGAACACUCUCUCUUUUAACGGUAUGAUGAUGAUGACAUAAUAAAAUAG
This is an RNA transcript of Dendrobium catenatum, 899 nucleotides long. RefSeq lists it as uncharacterized. The transcript has 4 exons. Lineage: Eukaryota; Viridiplantae; Streptophyta; Magnoliopsida; Asparagales; Orchidaceae. The record is from RefSeq and is a predicted model, not a curated record.